UUGAUUUCAAAGGAUGUGCUGGUAACCCCUCACAGGUUGCAUGUGCACUCCGAAAAAUCUCCUUCUCUUACCCCACUGUGCACAAUACAGUAGACAAAACAGAUUCACAGAGCAAUCUGUCCGUAUCAUUUUGUCUAUGUUUUUAUAUCAAACACCAAUGAAUUAUCAGAAUGAUCUAUGCAGUAAGCUUUAACAAGCUGAAAUGUAAUA
RNAcentral lists this unclassified non-coding RNA (210 nucleotides) under uncultured Agaricales. RNAcentral describes it as "sequence contains ITS1". Lineage: Eukaryota; Fungi; Basidiomycota; Agaricomycetes; Agaricales. The record is from RNAcentral.